RNAcentral lists this ribosomal RNA (2586 nucleotides) under Enterobacter mori. RNAcentral's name for it is "bacterial LSU rRNA". It matches the Rfam family "Bacterial large subunit ribosomal RNA", at positions 372 to 2925 of the family's 2925-position model. The record is from RNAcentral. Lineage: Bacteria; Pseudomonadati; Pseudomonadota; Gammaproteobacteria; Enterobacterales; Enterobacteriaceae.
CCCGUACACGAAAGCACACUUGCUGUGAACUCGAAGAGUAGGGCGGGACACGUGGUAUCCUGUCUGAAUAUGGGGGGACCAUCCUCCAAGGCUAAAUACUCCUGACUGACCGAUAGUGAACCAGUACCGUGAGGGAAAGGCGAAAAGAACCCCGGCGAGGGGAGUGAAAAAGAACCUGAAACCGUGUACGUACAAGCAGUGGGAGCCUCUUUUAUGGGGUGACUGCGUACCUUUUGUAUAAUGGGUCAGCGACUUAUAUUCUGUAGCAAGGUUAACCGUAUAGGGGAGCCGAAGGGAAACCGAGUCUUAACUGGGCGUUAAGUUGCAGGGUAUAGACCCGAAACCCGGUGAUCUAGCCAUGGGCAGGUUGAAGGUUGGGUAACACUAACUGGAGGACCGAACCGACUAAUGUUGAAAAAUUAGCGGAUGACUUGUGGCUGGGGGUGAAAGGCCAAUCAAACCGGGAGAUAGCUGGUUCUCCCCGAAAGCUAUUUAGGUAGCGCCUCGUGAACUCAUCUUCGGGGGUAGAGCACUGUUUCGGCUAGGGGGCCAUCCCGGCUUACCAACCCGAUGCAAACUACGAAUACCGAAGAAUGUUAUCACGGGAGACACACGGCGGGUGCUAACGUCCGUCGUGAAGAGGGAAACAACCCAGACCGCCAGCUAAGGUCCCAAAGUCAUGGUUAAGUGGGAAACGAUGUGGGAAGGCACAGACAGCCAGGAUGUUGGCUUAGAAGCAGCCAUCAUUUAAAGAAAGCGUAAUAGCUCACUGGUCGAGUCGGCCUGCGCGGAAGAUGUAACGGGGCUAAACCAUGCACCGAAGCUGCGGCAGCGACACUCAGGUGUUGUUGGGUAGGGGAGCGUUCUGUAAGCCGUUGAAGGUGACCUGUGAGGGUUGCUGGAGGUAUCAGAAGUGCGAAUGCUGACAUAAGUAACGAUAAUGCGGGUGAAAAGCCCGCACGCCGGAAGACCAAGGGUUCCUGUCCAACGUUAAUCGGGGCAGGGUGAGUCGACCCCUAAGGCGAGGCCGAAAGGCGUAGUCGAUGGGAAACAGGUUAAUAUUCCUGUACUUGGUGUUACUGCGAAGGGGGGACGGAGAAGGCUAUGUUAGCCGGGCGACGGUUGUCCCGGUUUAAGCAUGUAGGCGGAGAGUUUAGGUAAAUCCGGACUCUUUUUAACGCUGAGGUGUGAUGACGAGGCACUACGGUGCUGAAGUAACAAAUGCCCUGCUUCCAGGAAAAGCCUCUAAGCAUCAGGUAACAUCAAAUCGUACCCCAAACCGACACAGGUGGUCAGGUAGAGAAUACCAAGGCGCUUGAGAGAACUCGGGUGAAGGAACUAGGCAAAAUGGUGCCGUAACUUCGGGAGAAGGCACGCUGAUGUGUAGGUGAAGCCCCUGCGGGUGGAGCUGAAAUCAGUCGAAGAUACCAGCUGGCUGCAACUGUUUAUUAAAAACACAGCACUGUGCAAACACGAAAGUGGACGUAUACGGUGUGACGCCUGCCCGGUGCCGGAAGGUUAAUUGAUGGGGUUAGCGGCAACGCGAAGCUCUUGAUCGAAGCCCCGGUAAACGGCGGCCGUAACUAUAACGGUCCUAAGGUAGCGAAAUUCCUUGUCGGGUAAGUUCCGACCUGCACGAAUGGCGUAAUGAUGGCCAGGCUGUCUCCACCCGAGACUCAGUGAAAUUGAACUCGCUGUGAAGAUGCAGUGUACCCGCGGCAAGACGGAAAGACCCCGUGAACCUUUACUAUAGCUUGACACUGAACACUGGUCCUUGAUGUGUAGGAUAGGUGGGAGGCUUUGAAGCGUGGACGCCAGUCUGCGUGGAGCCGCCCUUGAAAUACCACCCUUUAAUGGCUGGUGUUCUAACGUAGACCCGUGAUCCGGGUUGCGGACAGUGUCUGGUGGGUAGUUUGACUGGGGCGGUCUCCUCCCAAAGAGUAACGGAGGAGCACGAAGGUUAGCUAAUCCUGGUCGGACAUCAGGAGGUUAGUGCAAUGGCAUAAGCUAGCUUGACUGCGAGAGUGACGGCUCGAGCAGGUGCGAAAGCAGGUCAUAGUGAUCCGGUGGUUCUGAAUGGAAGGGCCAUCGCUCAACGGAUAAAAGGUACUCCGGGGAUAACAGGCUGAUACCGCCCAAGAGUUCAUAUCGACGGCGGUGUUUGGCACCUCGAUGUCGGCUCAUCACAUCCUGGGGCUGAAGUAGGUCCCAAGGGUAUGGCUGUUCGCCAUUUAAAGUGGUACGCGAGCUGGGUUUAGAACGUCGUGAGACAGUUCGGUCCCUAUCUGCCGUGGGCGCUGGAGAAUUGAGGGGGGCUGCUCCUAGUACGAGAGGACCGGAGUGGACGCAUCACUGGUGUUCGGGUUGUCAUGCCAAUGGCAUUGCCCGGUAGCUAAAUGCGGAAGAGAUAAGUGCUGAAAGCAUCUAAGCACGAAACUUGCCCCGAGAUGAGUUCUCCCUGACCCUUUAAGGGUCCUGAAGGAACGUUGAAGACUACGACGUUGAUAGGUCGGGUGUGUAAGCGCAGCGAUGCGUUGAGCUAACCGAUACUAAUGAACCGUGAGGCUUAACCUUACAACGCCGAAG